Molecule: long non-coding RNA, 5935 nt
Filed under: Salmo salar (Atlantic salmon)
Lineage: Eukaryota; Metazoa; Chordata; Actinopteri; Salmoniformes; Salmonidae
Description: lncRNA (ENSSSAG00000106394.1, ENSSSAG00000117631.1)
Source: RNAcentral
CGUUUGACGACGAUGUAACGCUUUGGUUAAUAAACAACACUUUCGAAGAUGAUUUUGCAACGCUUUUGAACGUUAGCUAAUUCAAAUUAGCAGAGUGUUUUAUUUAUUUGUUUAGCUAACGCAUCAUAAAGAUUUAAAACAAUGUAGAAUGGGAAAACGGGUAUAUUUGUUUUGCUAUGAAGCGUCUGGUGCUAGCUAGCUAGCUUAUCACAACAACUGGAUGGCCUUUGUUUUUCAUGGGUGUUUUUCAGCCAGUGCUGACCAGCGAACUAGUCUUUUCGCCUGUCAACAUCCCUGGAUUUUCUAAAGAUGAAGAGAAAAGUGGCUCGAUUACGGUUAAGUCCAAAUGAAGAAGCGCAACUCAUUCGAGAUGAACACGAAAGGAGAAGGAAGCUGUGAAUAGAACAGGUGCGGGAACAGGAGCGGUAUAUCGCCCUGCAAAUCCGCACGGAGGUGCGGCAGCGACGGGAGCGCGAGCUGCAGAACCUGGCGCAGGAGUUGAAGGAGGAGUGGGAGCGACAACAGAGGGAGAAACAGGAGACCCUGCAAAAGUUAUAUCAGGACAAUCUCCGAGUUUUGGGAGAGGGACAUAGAAGUGCCAAAGAAAAUAAGCCUGACUGUGAGGCAAUUGCACAGAGAAAUUAGGGGAAUAACGUUCGGCAGAUGAGCGCUAUCGAGACGCCAUCAAACAGCUCAAAUCACAGAGACAGAAAGGAGGAGGAGCAAAAUCGUUUUAUUGAGGCUAGGAAGAAGGCCAUACAAGUGGAGAAGGAGAGGGCAGCAACUGUGGCCAACCUCCCAUCCCUUCCACCCAACCCAAUUGAGAAUAUUGAGUCAAGGAAGCUACCUGGAGUGAAGAAAUCGGACAGAGAUGCCUUCUCUGUGACCCACUAUCACAUGCCAGAGACUGCAGUGGACAGGGAAGUUGACAGUACAGCCAAAGGCAUGGGAGGUGGCAGAGGAGGAGGUGCGGCGCCUGCAGGAGCUAGAACGGGAGGAGCAGAGGGAGAGACGGGAGCAGCUGGAGAAAGCUCGUCUUAGGGGCAACCACGCGCUGAGGAGGGAACGGCUCACACAGGACCGAGAGUGCCUCCUGGUGGAGCUGGAACACAUGCAUCAGACAGACCUGUUGAGGCGCAGGCAGAUGAUGGCUCAGAUGCCUGCCCAGAUCUUCUAGCUGCUCUACAAGAGACAGGAGAUGAGGGAGGACUGGCAGAGGGACAUGGAGUUCACCUUUGAGGACAUGUACACUGGAGAGAGUAGUAAGGGUGGGGGGUCCAAAUCAGGAUGAAUUUUUCCGUGCUCUGCUCUGGCCCCGAGUACACAAUUUGUUGGUAUUGCCCUGGUGCAUAGAUAAGUUGUUUUACUUGAUUGAAAUGGAGAGAUUUACCCUAUCCUAGACAGUAGUGUGGACACAUCGUUAUGAGACCUAAUUACCAUUAGUACAUUGGCAUGGAGUUUCUCUAUUCAUCUAAUUAAACCUGUACUGCUCUUUUGCCUGCAGGAGUGAAAGGUGACCUGGUGCUGCAGCUGGUCCCAGAGCCUCUCCCAGCUGUGUCCACUGGCAGCCAGGAUGAACACCUAGACCUGACCCUGGAGGAGGCCACUCCUGACCUUACACCCUCGGCUGGGGCAGAGGAACAACCGGAUGAAGAACCAUCCAGGCCUCUAGGUGGUGCUCCCAGACAGGCCUUGAAGAAGCUACUGACCCGUGUCAGGUCACAGAGAGACCAGUGGAGCUACCGGAGGCUGGUUGACCCCACAUCUGACUGCCAAACUAUUCAGACAGCAGAGCGCGACACGACCUCAGAUGGUACGACCAUUGAGUCAGGCUUUCUGGCCAGCGAAAAGCAGGGCUGACCGUUGACCACUAGUCCCAGACUCCCUGACCCCUCUCAGCCAGCACAAGCUAUAGAGACAAUAGAGGACUCCAUAGUAGCUGGUACCCUGCUCCAUCCUGAUAAACAAGCCAUCAAGAUCCACACAUUUAAACUGAGAGGAAGAGAAGGGAGGAGGAGCUAGAGAGGCAGGAGCAGAUUGCCCUGCUACAGGAUUUAGGGGAGAAGAAGAGCAAGCUGGAGCUACUGCAGGAGGCCCAGGAAGAGAGGGAGCAGCUGCAGACGGCCAUGACCCAAGACACUGCUGCUGCAUCUGGAACACUGAAAACACCAGCCCAGGACGUCAGCCCUGCUGCUCCAUCUCCUGAGUCUACUAUACACUCAGCUGCUGAGGAUGACCACCCCAGGAGAAUCAGAGAGUAUCAGCAGCGUCUCUUAGACCAGAACAGGCUUCAUAAGCAGUCAGUGGAAGAGUCUCACCGGCGUCUGGAAGAGUACCAACACACGCUAAGAAACCGCUAUUCUGGUGUAACUACGGCAACAUGUCUCCCUCCUGGUACCACAGCCCGUCCUCUACCACACUUUAAAGGAGGAAUCAUUCCCCCGGUAGUGCCACUAGAACUCCCCUCUGGCUCCCCUGUCUCCCUGUAGCACUUAGUACCCACUCUAGAGCUCACACCCCUCUGGACCUCUCCACACGGGAGCCCUCCAUCUUGGCUCAAACUCUCUUCCUUCCUGGCGCAACAGUCUGCUCGCAUAUCAACUCCAGGGCCUCACCAGUGCAGCUCGAACCCACCGCUUAAAGCCUAAGAGACCAAAGAGCAGGUGUUUCUGCUUGGCUGGCGGACAAUGUGUUUAGUAGGGUCACAGAGGACCUCCCUGAGAAGCUACCUGGCACCUCUACCUCGUUGGACCCCCAGUCCUACAGACCACAUCCUGUUUCCCUCCACUCUACUCCACGCAUCCCACUCCCAUCAACAGCUGACUCCAUCCCAGCCAUUAGCCCAACCCUUUGAGAAGAGUCAGCUACUCUCCCUGGGGAGGCCCCGGUGAAGCCUGGGCCUGUCCUGUGGGCCUCAGCCAGGUCUGGGGAAGAGGUGGAGAGGCAGAGGCAGGAGAUACGUGAGGCCCAGAGGGAGCAGAGGGAAGAACGGAGAUGGCUGGAGGAAGAGCAGAGGAGGAGACAGAGGGAGGUGUUAGACACUGCUCACUGCUGACGACACACAGCCUGGUUCAGAGAUCGCUGAUGGUUUGGGGUCAAAGGUCCUGGGGUCAGAGUGUGUCCAUCUGAUUGCAGCUCUGCUCAGGGCCAUCGGAGUCCAAUGGGCAAACAUCAUCAUCUGUAGAAGCUAAUCAGAGCCAAGACAACACACUCAAUGUCCAGAGUUCACACCCAGACAGACCCGCCCCUCACCAACUUCCCCAACCACCACCCCCGAGCAGCCAAACCCCUGGUGGCCUGCGCCAGGCUGGUCGUCAUGGUGAUGACAGAGCAGCAUGAGCUCAGGCCUGAUCACAGGUCCAGAAGUGAGUGUGAGGCUGUCUCGUAUUGAAAGGGCAUUUCCAGAAGAACAGGACCCCUUGGCCCACUCUGAGAGAGGUCACUCCAGCACCUCUGUGUUCAGUGCAGGGGAACACACAGCUGGGAGUGAGACAUUAACCAGGUCUGGUAGAUCCAGCAAGCUAUCCUGGAGAGAGAGAGAUUACAGCUGGAGGCUGGUGCCUCUCCUGAACCUGGUGGACUCCAAUCAAGUUGUAGAAACAUCACAAGGAUGUAAAUAAGUUUUGUCCAGUUGGAGAUCCUGUCCUUCCAGUCAGCCGGUAGACCCUCAGAACCAGACUACCUGUCUUCCACCACCAUCUCUUCUGGCAGCUUCGCCACCACUGACCCUGAACACACCUCCACCAAAAGUGUGUGUGUGUGUGACUUGUUUAUAAGCCUAAUCAAUUGAGUAUCUAUCCAGGCCAGUCAUGUCAGAAAUUCUAUGUGAUAAAUGAUAGUUGCAUUUAAAAUGGAGAAAUCUAAUCCUCUGUUUUAUUCCCCACCCCCAUAAGACUCUUCCCUGCUCUUGGCUGGGUUUAGAAGAGGGAAGAAAUCAUCGGUCAAUGGCUCCUCUUCAUGAAGACACAGUUCCUGUAGAGACGUAUCUGGUCCUGGGUCUCCCAUCUCAGACUCACUCCUACACAGCAGCAGUAUCCAGCGCAUCAUAGACAAAUACACCCGGGAGCUCAACCUCUCUCUCAGUUCUGCUGGGAACCAGAUGGGAGCUGAUGGGUCUAACUCCCUAGGCUGGGUGGAUCUGAGAGGCUCAGGCCAGACAGGAGUGUCAUCUGACCCAGAGGGAGCCCCUGAAGCCCAUUCAUUGAGCAGCUCCUUUCUCCCUGGACUGGAACUUCUGCCACACUACCAGUGCCUGCAACGCUCUGGCACCAGCUCCCAGGAAGCAGACAGGACUGGGGCCUCCGACUCCUUCCACCCCCUCCUGGCUGAAGUCACACACAACAAGACAGCUGAACCCUCCAUGACCUUUCACCUUCCAGAAGAGGAAGUGGAGGGGCUAUGUUCCCACGAAGAAGAAAGUGACCAUGAAGAACCUGCAGGGGACCUUGAACUCUCUGCAUGCUCAGUUGAGUUUGUGGACGACACUUGGUCUGUCACCUCUGACCCCCCCCCUCCUGAGUGCCUGAGAGGAGGGGAGGAACCACCUCAGCCCUCGCCCGCCCUGCACGACUCCUUGUACCAGCUGACCAUGUCCCAGUGCCUCCCUCAUAACUCUGCUCUGGAUGUAUCCCCAGGAGCAGAGGUGGGGGGGUCUGGCAGCAUGUUCCCUCUCUCUGUGAAGAUGUCCCCACUUUGGACAAGCCACUUGAAGGCGGGGACACUGAUAUGGAGAGCACACCAGCACCUCAGACAGUUGACCAAUGAGGUGCUAUUACCAUUAAGGACCUGGGUGCAGGAGAGCCGGAUGCCCAGCUAUGUUCAGAGUCAAAGAUCAGCCCUCCCAUCUGGGAGAGAAUAAUGGUGGGCAGUGUGAAGGGGAUAAUGGACGAUUCCAUGCUGACCCUGAUGAGCCUGACAGACACCACAUUAAAGGACCACGGACUCGCUGAGGAAGGAGAGAUGGAUGAGGUAUCAGACCAAUAAGGCAUUGUGGAAAAGGAAUCAGAGUGGACAGUGUUGCCAGAGGAGGACGCCAGCCUACAGGACAACCCCCUCUCAUGCAGUCGUGUCCCAGCGUGAAUCUACAGGAGGCCUUCCAGCAGAAACGCAGAGCCCUGAUCCAGAGGUCUGCCCGCAGGGUGGAGGAGAUUCAGGCCAAGACGUCUGAAGACAAAGCAAACACCAGGGCCCAGUCUGAAACCACUGAGACCAGGGCCAACACAACCACCAGGGCCCAGUCUGACCCAACCACUGUUCAGUCAUCCACUACUAAACCCAGGAGGGAGGGGAGGAGUGCAGAGUCAACCCAUGCAGGAGUGGAUUCCAAGCAGAAAAAGCAACAGCCAAAGCUCCAAACUCCCUUGCAGCCUCCCAUGCUAGCCAAGCUGAAGAAGGUUGGGGAGGUGAGGAUCAGCACUCCUGAGAUGAGGAUACAGGAUGUGGCUGACAUGCGCCAGAGAACAGAGAGGUUGUACAGCCGACUAGAUGAGGUAAAGCUUCAGGAGGAGGUCAGGAGCAGACAGGAGGCAUAUGCCAAAAACGGGAGAAGGCCAAAGAGUUUCACAAGAAGCUACGGGCCAAGCAGUCUCCGCAAUGAUACUGAAUAUCAGUUUUAUCUGUUGUCGUGUGUUCUGUGUUUGCACUUAUUUUGUACUUACAUGUGUUUUUGUACAGUUUAAUCAGUAAUGUAAAAUAUAUUUUACGAGUGUGUAUAUAAUCUGCGUUCAGUCUAUUCAUCACAAUUUACUGUGUUCACACAACAAAGGCAGCCAGUGCACUAUUGCACCUUGAAUGCUGGCGGUACACCCAUUGCAUUAUGAGAAUGUUAUGUUGCCUGUAAAAAUAUUUUAGUUUCAGGUUUUUAUAACCAAUAAAGUUGUUUGUUGCUGAUUUUGCCUAUCCUUAUAAGUUGUAUUAUGGGAGGCCACUUGACCUG